This 1072-nucleotide long non-coding RNA is filed under the name Heterocephalus glaber (naked mole-rat). Its description in RNAcentral is "lncRNA (ENSHGLG00000050556.1)". The record is from RNAcentral. Lineage: Eukaryota; Metazoa; Chordata; Mammalia; Rodentia; Bathyergidae.
CCUACUUCCGGCUUAGAGACAGCAGAAAGCCAAAAGAGAGCUUGAAGAGUGUCCCCGGAGAGGAAGAGGAGGAAAACGAAGAACAGAAAGAGAGAGGCACGGCCGGGAGGUAGCGCGGCGUCGGCUACUUACUGUAGGAAUAGCUGCUCACUUCCGAGGCGAACGGGGAAUGGGCCGACUUGGACUGGCCUCUGGCCUUGAACCCCACCUCCAUCUUCCUGGCUUUGGUGGCCCUUUUGUGUUUACCUUCUCUAGAGGAUUUCAGAGACAAGCCCAGGCCUUUGGCCAGUGUCUUCGUGUUCUUGCCCAGCAGGCUGUCAUAAGGACUCAAGAACCUGCCGCAACUCCCACUAGUUUUCGAUUUCCCCCCAGAACUGUCCGAAAACUUGAAGGGUGACUUCAACUUGUCCUGCUUUGUGAGGGAGAGGGCCUUGUCUAGCUUGCUUGCCAACUGCUCCUGGUCACUGGCCAUCUUCUUCUUCUUAAUCUUUAGCUGGGGAGGGAAGUUGGGUCAUACAUUAGGACAUUCGGCAAAACAGGAUAGUGGGUUUCAGUGCACACCUCUGACAACCCUGGGCUCUAAUCCUUCCUCAUACCUCAGUCCUUACACUUUGUAGAACGAGGAUAUUUGUGUCUGGACAUUACCUGGCUGUUCUGAAGAUGAACUGAGAUAAGGCACAGAAAGCAUUUAUCAGCUUGCAAUUCCAGCACUGGGGAGGCUGAGGCAGGAGUACUACCAAGAGUUCAAGGCUAGCCGGGACUAUACAGCAAGACAGUGUCUCAAAAAACAAAACAAAACAAAAAAACCAGAAAGCAUUUAUCAAAAUGCCUGACCCAAAGUAACCACUUAUUAAAUAGGUGUUACUAUGGUUACAAUUAUCACUGGCCCUGGUAUUUCCACUCUGGCUUUCCAUGGCACUUAUCUUGUACCUCCUCAGAAGCACUUUAAGCAACCAGAACCACUGAUGGCUCAGAGAAUGUAGCUGAGUUGAGAGAGGAAAAAGGUAGCAUUUCAUAAAGAGGAAAGAAGUUGGGACACUGUCAUGUAAACAACAACAAAAGCAUCCCUGAC